UGAGUUUGAUCCUGGCUCAGGAUGAACGCUGGCGGCGUGCCUAAUACAUGCAAGUCGAACGAACAAGAACAGCUAAGCUUGCUUAGCAGUUUGCGUUAGUGGCGAACGGGUGAGUAAUACAUAAAUAACCUGCCCCUAUGUUUGGAAUAACAGUUGGAAACGACUGCUAAUGCCAAAUACGUUAUCUUAAGGCAUCUUAAGAUAAUAAAAGAUGGGAUACAUCGCAAAGGGAUGGAUUUAUGGCGCAUUAGUUAGUUGGUGAGGUAACGGCUCACCAAGACGAUGAUGCGUAGCCGGCCUGAGAGGGUGACCGGCCACACUGGGACUGAGACACGGCCCAGACUCCUACGGGAGGCAGCAGUAGGGAAUUUUCGGCAAUGGGGGCAACCCUGACCGAGCGACGCCGCGUGAGUGAAGAAGGCCUUCGGGUUGUAAAGCUCUGUUGUAAGGGAAGAACCGUAGUGAUAGGGAAUGAUCACUACCUGACGGUACCUUACCAGAAAGCCACGGCUAACUACGUGCCAGCAGCCGCGGUAAUACGUAGGUGGCAAGCGUUAUCCGGAAUUAUUGGGCGUAAAGGGAGCGCAGGCGGUUUAUUAAGUCUGAUGUUAAAACACGGAGCUCAACUUCGUGAUGCAUUAGAAACUGGUAGACUAGAGUGCAGGAGAGGUGAGUGGAAUUCCAUGUGUAGCGGUAAAAUGCGUAGAUAUAUGGAGGAACACCAGUGGCGAAGGCGGCUCACUGGCCUGUAACUGACGCUGAGGCUCGAAAGCGUGGGGAGCAAAUAGGAA
Molecule: ribosomal RNA, 791 nt
Filed under: uncultured bacterium
Lineage: Bacteria
Description: bacterial SSU rRNA
Rfam family: Bacterial small subunit ribosomal RNA
Source: RNAcentral